This 1050-nucleotide ribosomal RNA is filed under the name Acteon tornatilis. RNAcentral's name for it is "eukaryotic LSU rRNA". It matches the Rfam family "Eukaryotic large subunit ribosomal RNA", at positions 23 to 878 of the family's 3401-position model. Lineage: Eukaryota; Metazoa; Mollusca; Gastropoda; Acteonidae. The record is from RNAcentral.
ACCCGCUGAAUUUAAGCAUAUAACUAAGCGGAGGAAAAGAAACUAACUAGGAUUUCCCCAGUAACGGCGAGUGAAGCGGGAAGAGCCCAGCACCGAAUCCCUCGGCGUCUCGUCGACGGGAACUGUGGUGUGUGGGACGCCAACUGUCGAGCGCGCGGGGCCCCCAAGUCCUCCUGAUCGGGGCUUUCUCCAUAGCGGGUGUAAGGCCUUUGCGGGAGCCCCGCCGUUCGGCCGCGAGCGUCCCAGGAGUCGGGUUGUUUGGGAAUGCAGCCCAAAGAGGGUGGUAAACUCCAUCUAAGGCUAAAUACUGUCGCGAGUCCGAUAGCGGACAAGUACCGACCCAGAGGUAAACGGGUGGAUCCGCAAAGUCGCCGCUCGGGAUUCAGCGCGGCGUGCGGCCCGGGGCUGCCGGUGGCGGAGAUCCCCGUCCCCGCAAGGGGGCGGAACUCUGCCGGCCGGUGCCGACCCGGGCCCCGCCGCGUGCACUUUCCGAGCCGGUGAGCGCUACGACCGGUUCUCCGGCAGCGACAAGCCCGUGGGGGAAGGUAGGCGCCGCGACGUUCUUUCGUUCGAAGCGGUGCUGUUAUAGCCCCCGCGGGGAGCCGCCUGCCGCUGGGGACCGAGGGACGGCCGCGCCCGAUCGGGGGCCGUCCGGCCGGCGCGGGGAGUCAUGCUCUCGACUGGCGGGGACUGGGCAACCGUGCCCGCCGACCGCUCCCCGUGCUCGGUUCGGACGCGCCCGCGGGCGCCGAGGGUCAGUGGCGAGUCUGUCGGCCUUCCACCCGACCCGUCUUGAAACACGGACCAAGGAGUCUAACGUGCGCGCGAGUCAUUGGGUCGUCCGAAACCCACAGGCGAAGUGAAAGCGAGGGCCGCCCCGGGCUGGCCCAGGUGGGAUCCCUCCGGCCGUCAAAGGCAGGGGGGCGCACCACCGGCCCGUCCCUUCCGCGCCGUCGGUGGGGCGGAGCAGGAGCGCGCGCGUUGGGACCCGAAAGAUGGUGAACUAUGCCCGAGCAGAACGAAGCCAGAGGAAACUCUGGUGGAAGUCGG